ACGAACCGGACAAACGUUAUUCGGAAUUAUUGGGCUUAAAGGGUGCGUAGGCGGUGCGGUAAGUGCGGUGUGAAAUCCCACGGCUCAACCGUGGAAUUGCGCUGCAUACUGCCGUGCUAGAGGGAGACAGGGGUAAGCGGAACUGAUGGUGGAGCGGUGAAAUGCGUUGAUAUCAUCAGGAACACCAGUGGCGAAAGCGGCUUACUGGGUCUCUUCUGACGCUGAGGUACGAAAGCUAGGGUAGCGAACGGG
Molecule: ribosomal RNA, 252 nt
Filed under: uncultured bacterium
Lineage: Bacteria
Description: partial 16S ribosomal RNA
Rfam family: Bacterial small subunit ribosomal RNA
Source: RNAcentral